AACCCUUUUUCAUUAUCAAAAGUUCAAAACCCUCGCUUCACAUACACAGUAGAGAUUCAUUACGACAUCAACCUCUCGUUACUGAAGUAAUUCGUGGUGAAGUAUUAUUCAGAAACCAACAAGAGAGUAUAUUGAGGUCAAUUACAAACAGCUUUGAUUACAUUAAUAAGGUCGGUUUGAAGCUUGAAAUUUUUAAUUGAGCAUUGUAGAUGCAAGAGUGUUAUAUUUUGGCACAAGUUUGGGAACGAUUGGAACUUCUUCUUUUUUCUUUUUUUUUUUUCGUGGUUAAGUUAAUAAUUUAUUGAUCAUCCGCACAAAGAAUGUGCUGGCUUCAAUUCAAUGCAUCUAGACUCUGCAAAUUAUCUAUAAUUUUAUUUAUGUUUGCUUCAUUUUCACUUAGACUGAUGAUUAUGCUUUUUAUAUUAGCGAAAAUUUGAAGAACUAGAAGAACACUUGUUUCAAGUUUGAAGAACUUCUCGGACUCAUUCUAACUGAUUCGGGUAGAUGAGAAAUCAUCGCAACGAAUCAGGCUCUGAGUAUUUUGCUAAUGGAAGGAGAUCGGUAUUUCGAGUUUGAUGAUUGACGUAAUUUGAUGAGUUAUUGGAAAGAAGAUUUUCAAUAUAAGGAAACAAUAACAAGUUUCUUGUCAAAAGCGCAAUGGAAGAAAUUGAGAGAUGGUGUUUUUGGAAAAAAAAACUCGGCUAGAAGGUGUUAAAUUCUGUGGUAAAUUAAUUCAUUGUGUGUUGCUUUCUGAAAUUGUAAGCAAUGAUAAGAAUUCAAUGAUAUUUAAGGUUUUUGAUCAUGGAGUGAAGUUUACAAAUGAAGCCUUCCACAUAAUUACUGGGUUGAAAUGUUCUUCUUCAGGGGACUUUAACUUUUUGAAUGAAAUAGAGAAUAAGCUUUCUAAACUUCACUGGUAAGGAAAGAAUUAAAUUAGGGAAUUUGUGGCAUUUUAUUACUAGUCGCCCAUCUGGUACAACUGCGUCAUUUGUAGGUAGCAACGGCGAUGCAGUAAAGUUGGCAACAAUUUAUUUUGUUGAGCAUGUGUUGAUGGGUAAGCGUAAGAAUAGAAAUGUGUCUGAGCGGGUUAUGAAAAUUAUUGAUGAUGAUCAACUCUGCUCUUCUGUCUAUCGGGGCUCUUUUUGUUAUCAAAAGUUGUCAACUCAUUGAAAAGUUGCUUGAAGCCCAAACAAAAACUUCAGACAAUGAGAAUGAGAAUGAGAAAGAGCAAAAGAAAGAGAAGGUCAUUUAUACUAUAUUUGGAUUCCCCUUUGCCCUCUAUGUUUGGAUUAUGGAAGUACUCCCAAUUUUUCAGGAAAAAAAACUUUGUCAAAUUCAAAGAAUGCGGGUUCCCUAGGAUGUUAUGUUAUUCAGAUAUGAAAUCUUCGCAUUAUGAGAGCCUCUGUAAAAACUACUUCCAUAACAAAAAAGUAUCUGAGAUACUCGUGAUGGUACCACUUGUUUAUUCUGAAGAAGUAGUAGAGCCCACUAGUGUGCAUGCAUAAUUAUCUCGAGAUGAAAGUUCAAUGCCUUCAACACAAUUUGAUGAAGGCUUGCUUAAUAAAGUUGUUGAUGUAAGUAUUCUGUAACGAUCCGACCUGUCGUUUUACUAUACAGAUCCCCGUUCCUCUAAAUAAGACUCCCCGUAUGUGCUUUUACUGUUUUAUGUCUUGAGGGGAUGGUUAGGACAUGUUUGGAAGGGUUCGGGUUGAGAUUAGAACAUUCAAUUCCUUAAGAUUGGCUUUAAAUG
Nicotiana tabacum (common tobacco) is the source of this 1750-nucleotide non-coding RNA. The record is from RefSeq and is a predicted model, not a curated record. Lineage: Eukaryota; Viridiplantae; Streptophyta; Magnoliopsida; Solanales; Solanaceae.